This 429-nucleotide ribosomal RNA is filed under the name Pseudomonadota bacterium. RNAcentral describes it as "Proteobacteria bacterium partial 16S ribosomal RNA". It matches the Rfam family "Bacterial small subunit ribosomal RNA", at positions 355 to 776 of the family's 1533-position model. The record is from RNAcentral. Lineage: Bacteria; Pseudomonadati; Pseudomonadota.
UGGGGAAUAUUGGACAAUGGGCGAAAGCCUGAUCCAGCCAUGCCGCGUGUGUGAAGAAGGUCUUCGGAUUGUAAAGCACUUUAAGUUGGGAGGAAGGGCAGUAAGCGAAUACCUUGCUGUUUUGACGUUACCGACAGAAUAAGCACCGGCUAACUCUGUGCCAGCAGCCGCGGUAAUACAGAGGGUGCAAGCGUUAAUCGGAAUUACUGGGCGUAAAGCGCGCGUAGGUGGUUCGUUAAGUUGAAUGUGAAAGCCCCGGGCUCAACCUGGGAACUGCAUCCAAAACAGGAGGGCUAGAGUAGGGCAGAGGGUGGUGGAAUUUCCUGUGUAGCGGUGAAAUGCGUAGAUAUAGGAAGGAACACCAGUGGCGAAGGCGACCACCUGGGCUCAUACUGACACUGAGGUGCGAAAGCGUGGGGAGCAAACAGG